RNAcentral lists this ribosomal RNA (253 nucleotides) under uncultured bacterium. RNAcentral's name for it is "partial 16S ribosomal RNA". It matches the Rfam family "Bacterial small subunit ribosomal RNA", at positions 524 to 776 of the family's 1533-position model. The record is from RNAcentral.
UACAGAGGUCUCAAGCGUUGUUCGGAUUUACUGGGCGUACAGGGAGCGUAGGCGGUUGGAUAAGCCCUCCGUGAAAUCUCCAGGCUUAACCUGGAAAGUGCAGAGGGGACUAUUCAGCUAGAGGACGGGAGAGGAGCGCGGAAUUCCCGGUGUAGCGGUGAAAUGCGUAGAGAUCGGGAGGAAGGCCGGUGGCGAAGGCGGCGCUCUGGAACAUUUCUGACGCUGAGGCUCGAAAGCGUGGGGAGCAAACAGG